Molecule: transfer RNA, 74 nt
Filed under: Planctomycetaceae bacterium
Lineage: Bacteria; Pseudomonadati; Planctomycetota; Planctomycetia; Planctomycetales; Planctomycetaceae
Also listed under: 2 other names
Description: tRNA-Asn
Rfam family: tRNA
About the family: Transfer RNA (tRNA) molecules are approximately 80 nucleotides in length. Their secondary structure includes four short double-helical elements and three loops (D, anti-codon, and T loops). Further hydrogen bonds mediate the characteristic L-shaped molecular structure. tRNAs have two regions of fundamental functional importance: the anti-codon, which is responsible for specific mRNA codon recognition, and the 3' end, to which the tRNAs corresponding amino acid is attached (by aminoacyl-tRNA synthetases). tRNAs cope with the degeneracy of the genetic code in two manners: having more than one tRNA (with a specific anti-codon) for a particular amino acid; and 'wobble' base-pairing, i.e. permitting non-standard base-pairing at the 3rd anti-codon position.
Source: RNAcentral
GCCCUGAUAGCUCAGUUGGUUAGAGCGGUUGACUGUUAAUCAAUAGGUCCAAGGUUCAAGUCCUUGUUGGGGCG